Molecule: ribosomal RNA, 687 nt
Filed under: uncultured bacterium
Lineage: Bacteria
Description: bacterial SSU rRNA
Rfam family: Bacterial small subunit ribosomal RNA
Source: RNAcentral
GAAGUUAGCGGCGGACGGGUGAGUAACACGUGGGUAACCUGCCCAUAAGACUGGGAUAACUCCGGGAAACCGGGGCUAAUACCGGAUAACAUUUUGAACUGCAUGGUUCGAAAUUGAAAGGCGGCUUCGGCUGUCACUUAUGGAUGGACCCGCGUCGCAUUAGCUAGUUGGUGAGGUAACGGCUCACCAAGGCAACGAUGCGUAGCCGACCUGAGAGGGUGAUCGGCCACACUGGGACUGAGACACGGCCCAGACUCCUACGGGAGGCAGCAGUAGGGAAUCUUCCGCAAUGGACGAAAGUCUGACGGAGCAACGCCGCGUGAGUGAUGAAGGCUUUCGGGUCGUAAAACUCUGUUGUUAGGGAAGAACAAGUGCUAGUUGAAUAAGCUGGCACCUUGACGGUACCUAACCAGAAAGCCACGGCUAACUACGUGCCAGCAGCCGCGGUAAUACGUAGGUGGCAAGCGUUAUCCGGAAUUAUUGGGCGUAAAGCGCGCGCAGGUGGUUUCUUAAGUCUGAUGUGAAAGCCCACGGCUCAACCGUGGAGGGUCAUUGGAAACUGGGAGACUUGAGUGCAGAAGAGGAAAGUGGAAUUCCAUGUGUAGCGGUGAAAUGCGUAGAGAUAUGGAGGAACACCAGUGGCGAAGGCGACUUUCUGGUCUGUAACUGACACUGAGGCGCGAAAGC